This 73-nucleotide transfer RNA is filed under the name Cordylochernes scorpioides. Its description in RNAcentral is "tRNA-Phe". The stretch from base 5 to 68 matches the Rfam family "tRNA", at positions 5 to 66 of the family's 71-position model. From Rfam's summary of the family: Transfer RNA (tRNA) molecules are approximately 80 nucleotides in length. Their secondary structure includes four short double-helical elements and three loops (D, anti-codon, and T loops). Lineage: Eukaryota; Metazoa; Arthropoda; Arachnida; Pseudoscorpiones; Chernetidae. The record is from RNAcentral.
UCCCAAAUAGCUGAGUUGGUAGAGCGUUAGACUGAAUAUCUAAAGGUUCCUGGUUCGAUCCCGGGUUUCGACA